Molecule: ribosomal RNA, 465 nt
Filed under: uncultured Klebsiella sp.
Lineage: Bacteria; Pseudomonadati; Pseudomonadota; Gammaproteobacteria; Enterobacterales; Enterobacteriaceae
Description: bacterial SSU rRNA
Rfam family: Bacterial small subunit ribosomal RNA
Source: RNAcentral
CCUACGGGGGGCUGCAGUGGGGAAUAUUGCACAAUGGGCGCAAGCCUGAUGCAGCCAUGCCGCGUGUGUGAAGAAGGCCUUCGGGUUGUAAAGCACUUUCAGCGGGGAGGAAGGCGUUAAGGUUAAUAACCUUGUCGAUUGACGUUACCCGCAGAAGAAGCACCGGCUAACUCCGUGCCAGCAGCCGCGGUAAUACGGAGGGUGCAAGCGUUAAUCGGAAUUACUGGGCGUAAAGCGCACGCAGGCGGUCUGUCAAGUCGGAUGUGAAAUCCCCGGGCUCAACCUGGGAACUGCAUUCGAAACUGGCAGGCUAGAGUCUUGUAGAGGCGGGUAGAAUUCCAGGUGUAGCGGUGAAAUGCGUAGAGAUCUGGAGGAAUACCGGUGGCGAAGGCGGCCCCCUGGACAAAGACUGACGCUCAGGUGCGAAAGCGUGGGGAGCAAACAGGAUUAGAUACCCUUGUAGUC